GUCCACGCUGUAAACGAUGUCAACUAGCCGUUGGUCCUAUUUACAGGAUUAGUGGCGCAGCCAACGCAUUAAGUUGACCGCCUGGGGAGUACGGCCGCAAGGUUAAACUCAAAUGAAUUGACGGGGCCCGCACAAGCGGUGGAGCAUGUGGUUUAAUUCGAUGCAACGCGAAGAACCUUACCUACCCUUGACAUCCAGAGAAUCUGUUAGAGAUAGUAGAGUGCCUUCGGGAGCUCUGAGACAGGUGCUGCAUGGCUGUCGU
RNAcentral lists this ribosomal RNA (262 nucleotides) under uncultured bacterium. RNAcentral describes it as "partial 16S ribosomal RNA". It matches the Rfam family "Bacterial small subunit ribosomal RNA", at positions 793 to 1055 of the family's 1533-position model. The record is from RNAcentral.